ACAGAGCUUUGCCUUUUUCAAACAGACAAACCUUCCAUGCAACCUAUAUCUGCGGUUGUUCUCUGGUAUCCCUUUCCAACACUCUUCCCCUGGUGUAGGAAGCUUCAGUUGGCUCUACACUGUAGAAUUAAUGCAUUUUGACAUCAUUUUAACUGUCAUAGUUCAAUGGUAUGGAAACCUCGUCGAGGCACCAGCACUGUCUUUGGCUGAGAAGGCUAAAGACUACAGCUCCCAUUAUUCUAUAUUCUUUAGCCAUGGCAGUUAAAAGUGGUGUCAAACUUCAUUAAUAUUCAGUGUAGCUGCAUCCUGAAUAUCUGUCUGCAGCAAAAAUGCUAUUCAAAGAGCGUGGUGAUUACAUAAAUGAAGUGGCUUCUUCUGGCAUGAACAUCUUCUUCUGAACAUGGAGCAACAGUGAGAGCACAGCAGCCUGGGAUAGUAUGGCCACAGAAAUGUGUGAUUAGUCUGAAUUAUUAUGAAGACACAAUGGCUUUAUUCUUCCUGUCAACUGUGUGAGAGAAAGUCUGGAUUAGCCAUUCCUAGGGAUCAGCAGAAGAUUCGAGGCAAGCAGGCAGAAGGACGGCUAACUUUUUGAACCUAAGCGGGCUUUGCUGGGCAGGGGUGACAGUUGUAACGUCUUUAGCAUGGAUUUGAAUGUGAAUCCUAUCUGCUGGAGCAGCUGAUGCUAUGACUUGGCAAUAUGAUAUAAUAAUCUUUGUGACACAAAUGUUGGACGUUUUUGUUGCACGUCCUAAAAGAGAUUUAGGAAAUUAAUGUUAAAUUGAGGAUAUAAAAUACUCCAUUCUCUCCCGCUCUCUCAUAUGCACAUAGUAAUUCCCAGCUACAAUAAAUAUGAGAAAAUA
This is a long non-coding RNA of Anolis carolinensis (green anole), 860 nucleotides long. RefSeq lists it as uncharacterized. The record is from RefSeq and is a predicted model, not a curated record. The transcript is spliced from 2 exons. NCBI's taxonomy places the organism in Eukaryota, Metazoa, Chordata, Lepidosauria, Squamata, Anolidae.